RNAcentral lists this ribosomal RNA (405 nucleotides) under uncultured Eubacteriales bacterium. Its description in RNAcentral is "uncultured Clostridiales bacterium partial 16S ribosomal RNA". It matches the Rfam family "Bacterial small subunit ribosomal RNA", at positions 355 to 774 of the family's 1533-position model. Lineage: Bacteria; Bacillati; Bacillota; Clostridia; Eubacteriales. The record is from RNAcentral.
UGGGGAAUAUUGGGCAAUGGAGGCAACUCUGACCCAGCAACGCCGCGUGAAGGAAGAAGGUUUUCGGAUUGUAAACUUCUGUAAUCGGGGACGAAUAAAAUGACGGUACCCGAGAAGUAAGCCCCGGCUAACUACGUGCCAGCAGCCGCGGUAAUACGUAGGGGGCAAGCGUUGUCCGGAAUUACUGGGCGUAAAGGGAGCGUAGGCGGCUUUUUAAGUCAGAUGUGAAAUACCCGGGCUUAACCCGGGGGGUGCAUUUGAAACUGGAAGGCUUGAGUAUAGGAGAGGAAAGCGGAAUUCCUAGUGUAGCGGUGAAAUGCGUAGAUAUUAGGAGGAACACCGGUGGCGAAGGCGGCUUUCUGGACUAAAACUGACGCUGAGGCUCGAAAGCGUGGGGAGCAAACA